Pangasianodon gigas (Mekong giant catfish) is the source of this 73-nucleotide non-coding RNA. The record is from the annotation of a GenBank genome assembly. NCBI's taxonomy places the organism in Eukaryota, Metazoa, Chordata, Actinopteri, Siluriformes, Pangasiidae.
GUAUUGGUGGUUUAGUGGUUAGCACGUUUGCCUUGUAUCUACAGGACCGGGGUUCGAGUCCCAUGUCUGCCCU